AACGAACGCUGGCGGCAUGCCUAACACAUGCAAGUCGAACGAGACCUUCGGGUCUAGUGGCGCACGGGUGCGUAACGCGUGGGAACCUGCCCUUAGGUUCGGAAUAACUCCCCGAAAGGGGUGCUAAUACCGGAUAAUGUCUUCGGACCAAAGAUUUAUCGCCUUUGGAUGGGCCCGCGUUGGAUUAGCUAGUUGGUAGGGUAAAAGCCUACCAAGGCGACGAUCCAUAGCUGGUCUGAGAGGAUGAUCAGCCACACUGGGACUGAGACACGGCCCAGACUCCGACGGGAGGCAGCAGUGGGGAAUAUUGGACAAUGGGCGAAAGCCUGAUCCAGCAAUGCCGGGUGAGUGAUGAAGGCCUUAGGGUUGUAAAGCUCUUUUACCCGGGAUGAUAAUGACAGUACCGGGAGAAUAAGCUCCGGCUAACUCCGUG
RNAcentral lists this ribosomal RNA (433 nucleotides) under uncultured bacterium. Its description in RNAcentral is "partial 16S ribosomal RNA". It matches the Rfam family "Bacterial small subunit ribosomal RNA", at positions 29 to 507 of the family's 1533-position model. The record is from RNAcentral.